UGCCGGGUCGUCUAGUGGUAGGACAUCGCCCUCUGGAGGCGAGUACCGGGGUUCGAAUCCCUGCCCGGCAG
RNAcentral lists this transfer RNA (71 nucleotides) under bacterium. Its description in RNAcentral is "tRNA-Gln". It matches the Rfam family "tRNA". From Rfam's summary of the family: Transfer RNA (tRNA) molecules are approximately 80 nucleotides in length. Their secondary structure includes four short double-helical elements and three loops (D, anti-codon, and T loops). Further hydrogen bonds mediate the characteristic L-shaped molecular structure. tRNAs have two regions of fundamental functional importance: the anti-codon, which is responsible for specific mRNA codon recognition, and the 3' end, to which the tRNAs corresponding amino acid is attached (by aminoacyl-tRNA synthetases). tRNAs cope with the degeneracy of the genetic code in two manners: having more than one tRNA (with a specific anti-codon) for a particular amino acid; and 'wobble' base-pairing, i.e. permitting non-standard base-pairing at the 3rd anti-codon position. The record is from RNAcentral.